RNAcentral lists this ribosomal RNA (510 nucleotides) under uncultured soil bacterium. RNAcentral describes it as "bacterial SSU rRNA". It matches the Rfam family "Bacterial small subunit ribosomal RNA", at positions 8 to 526 of the family's 1533-position model. The record is from RNAcentral.
AGAGUUUGAUCCUGGCUCAGGACGAACGCUGGCGGCGUGCCUUACACAUGCAAGUCGAACGGGGUUACAUCGGAAGCUUGCUUUCGAUAUAGCCUAGUGGCGGACGGGUGAGUAACACGUGAGCAACCUACCCGACAACCCGGGAUAACAGUGGGAAACUGCUGCUAAUACCGGAUACUCCGCAUCCACCGCAUGGUGGAUACGGGAAAGAUUUAUCGAUGUCGGAUGGGCUCGCGUCCCAUUAGCUAGUUGGUGGGGUAAUGGCCUACCAAGGCUGCGAUGGGUAGCUGGUCUGAGAGGACGAUCAGCCACACUGGAACUGAGACACGGUCCAGACUCCUACGGGAGGCAGCAGUGGGGAAUAUUGCACAAUGGGCGAAAGCCUGAUGCAGCGACGCCGCGUGGAGGAUGAAGGCUUUCGGGUCGUAAACUCCUGUCUGGGGGGAUGAAUACUGACAGUACCCCCGGAGGAAGCCCCGGCUAANUACGUGCCAGCAGCCGCGGUAAUAC